This 117-nucleotide transfer RNA is filed under the name Conoideocrella luteorostrata. RNAcentral's name for it is "tRNA-Leu". It matches the Rfam family "tRNA". Rfam says of the family: Transfer RNA (tRNA) molecules are approximately 80 nucleotides in length. Their secondary structure includes four short double-helical elements and three loops (D, anti-codon, and T loops). The record is from RNAcentral. Lineage: Eukaryota; Fungi; Ascomycota; Sordariomycetes; Hypocreales; Clavicipitaceae.
GGCAGAAUGGCCGAGUGGUCUAUGGCGACGGUCUCAAGCGCAUUAAUAUGUACUUCGCAUCCGAAAUGGAGCGUUCCGUUCACGAAAGUGGCCGGGGUUCGAAUCCCCGUUCUGUCA